CGAAUCGUGUCGGAGACGGGGCUGCUGGCAGGAUACAGAGCGGCUUCGUGCCGGCGCGGUCGUGGCUGGGCUAAGAUCAGACCGACAGCAGAGGAGCUUCCAUGGCGCCAUCCAUGGCGUCUCUGGGUUCCUCGCCGAUAAGGGGUGCUGCCCUGGCUCUGGCCAGCCACCACGGCCGCGCGCACUCCAGGAGAGUGGAGUGCAUCGUCGGCGCAACAUGUGUAGAAGAGGAGGAGGAGCGGCACUGGGUGAUAGUGUGGCUGAAGAAG
This 269-nucleotide ribosomal RNA is filed under the name Triticum aestivum (bread wheat). RNAcentral describes it as "partial small subunit ribosomal RNA". Lineage: Eukaryota; Viridiplantae; Streptophyta; Magnoliopsida; Poales; Poaceae. The record is from RNAcentral.